Molecule: ribosomal RNA, 468 nt
Filed under: uncultured bacterium
Lineage: Bacteria
Description: partial 16S ribosomal RNA
Rfam family: Bacterial small subunit ribosomal RNA
Source: RNAcentral
GACGAACGCUGGCGGCGUGCUUAACACAUGCAAGUCGAACGGAAAGGCCCUGCUUUUGUGGGGUGCUCGAGUGGCGAACGGGUGAGUAACACGUGAGUAACCUGCUCUUGACUUUGGGAUAACUUCAGGAAACUGGGGCUAAUACCGGAUAGGAGCUCCUGCUGCAUGGUGGGGGUGGGAAAGUUUCGGCGGUUGGGGAUGGACUCGCGGCUUAUCAGCUUGUUGGUGGGGUAGUGGCUUACCAAGGCUUUGACGGGUAGCCGGCCUGAGAGGGUGACCGGCCACAUUGGGACUGAGAUACGGCCCAGACUCCUACGGGAGGCAGCAGUGGGGAAUAUUGCACAAUGGGCGGAAGCCUGAUGCAGCAACGCCGCGUGCGGGAUGACGGCCUUCGGGUUGUAAACCGCUUUCGCCUGUGACGAAGCGUGAGUGACAGUAAUGGGUAAAGAAGCACCGGCUAACUACGUG